CUUCCUCACUGGUCCUAGGGCCCCUUACACUUUGCUGCUCUUGCCUGGCAGCUCAGUGUGCUGCCCUCUGGUGGAUUUUCUUCUCUGCGAGCCCAGCGCUGGGCACUUUGAUCUUUUCCCUGUCUCUCCAGCCGCUAGCAUAGUGAACCAGAGGGAGCAGCCCUCAGCCUUCCUCUCAUAACUGCUCACUGAGGCGUGGAAGGAACUGGAAGGGUGACUACCGUCUACCUGGACAACAGAAACUGGGGGUCUGUGGAAUGAGAAGUCCCCCAUUUCAGGAGAUUGGGAGAGAGCUGCAGACAUAGGUGAUGUCCCUGUUCUCUCUACCCCUCACCCAAAGAAGGGACACUGCCGCCGCCAGGCCUUCUGGGAGCCAGCUGCCACUGGUUCUGCAUCUUCAGGUCCACGAACCCCAAGUUCAUGAACACUCCAACAAUACCCAGCACUUAGGAGACUGAGACAGGAGGAUUUCAAGUCAAGGCCAUGAAAUCCUGGCUCCACAAGCAAAAACAAGUUCCAGAAAAUUCC
Long non-coding RNA from Mesocricetus auratus (golden hamster), 528 nucleotides. RefSeq lists it as uncharacterized. The record is from RefSeq and is a predicted model, not a curated record. The transcript has 3 exons. Lineage: Eukaryota; Metazoa; Chordata; Mammalia; Rodentia; Cricetidae.